CGGCCCUGCCCCUCACUCCACGAGGCAUCCAGCGGCUCGUGGGAGCUGGAAGGCGGGGACAGUGCGGCCCUGGCAGCAGGUCAGCACCCAAAUAAAACAGCAGCACAACCCAGCAACCCUAAGAGCGGGAGCAGACUGGAAUCCUCCUGCUGGCACAAGACUACAACCCUCACAGCAGGACAAGGACAGAACCCUCAGAGGACAACAAGACCCACUGCAAAAAGGUAGGGAAGACAUCAGAGGGUUUGAGAGCAACAGCUGGGCCUUGGAGGCUGAGCAGGUUUUUCUCAAGGUUUUUCCACAACUUCUAAGGGUAUGUAAGGGAUUCUAGAAGGCUUCUCAGCACAUUCUGGGCAUUUUAGGGUAUUCUAAGGAGGUUAUAAGGGCUAUAUCAGGGGUUUUUGAAACACUUUCAGGGUGAGAAUCAGAAGGGAUACUCCCUAAAAACGCAGAGUUUUAAGACUGCAGUGGAAUACAUUUAAAAAGGGCCUGAGGUCACAGAGUGAAUUGGGAAAAAAAGUGAUGGUCUAAAGACGGUAAGUUCCAGGCCAAAUGGAGUCAUUGUGGAUAGCACCAGAUGCAGACACCUGUGUAGGAGAGGAAUCCUGCACUAUAGAAAUGAACACCCCAAAAGAACCUACAUAUAACCUGACACCAUGAACCUUGCCUGGUGAGUUUUGUUUCUCAGAGAAAAGGCCAUCGUUCGUGUCCUGAGCCUGGUGGCCCGGAGUGGCCGGCUGCCUGCUGAAAUUCAUCACCUCCCAGAUGCAAGGUGCCCCCACAGGCAGCUGUGUCUGGUUUGACAGUGCCAAGUGCCUCCUGCAAACUGACAUCAGGAACCUGGCCUGAAAAACUGGAUUAAUGGGGCUGAAUCCUGGCAGCUAGCACUGAAACCAGUAGGAACUGGUGUGGAACAUCAAGCACUAAAGCCAUACAAGAGCUGCAGCAGGUACUAAAUUAUUUACAGCUAUUUUCUAUACGAGGAAAAGUUGUAAGAUGCAAAAGGAGAUUACAAUUUUAUAUAUAACCUAUUGGACGAGUACUUCAUUGCUGUACUUUUUUGACAGGACUUAAUGAUUUUUAUACUGUCUUUGCUGAACAUUUGUUUUUUGAAUGGGGGAUCAAGGACUUCUAAUAAUAAACUGCAUUAAUUUUCCAGAAGAGUUGUUUGUGGGUAAAACCUGCAUCACACCCCUGAAAGCCAAGCAAGAACCUGGUUUAGACAAUGCAGAAUCAACAGGCCAUGAACUGCAAUUUGUUUUUAAUAUCUAUAUAAAAAAUAAUGAGCGAUUUACAGGUCUCUCUCUAGUCAGAACCUCAGAAGUCUGUAUAAAGGUGCUGUACAAUAUAUAAACAUUUACACCCAGUACAUCCAUACAUUGCGUAGCAUUCCAAAGCCACAUGGCUAAGUUUGAUGCAGGAAGUACAGAUACAAGAUCUAUGGAAGGAGAAAUCACACACAGGUAAGACAGUAUCAGGUCACAUGAACAUAUAGAAAAAUAGAGAGGAGUUGAUGGCAGGGAGAUCAUUUCAGUGGGGCUAAUUCAUCUGGAACUAAAGCACUGUAUUUUUCACUGUACUCAGUGGUCAGGCUGAGUGCACACAGCUCAACAUCAACCAACCUCUGGGGAAGAACACAGGGCAAUAUCUACACAGGCUACUUCAGAGUAUUAAAUAUUUCACAGUCAUAUUCUACCCAGGGAGUAUUUGUACGCGUUAUGCUACACAGCAACCCUGGUGUCAGUGGCUCAGCUGGUAUUGAGCAGGUGAGCACAGUUCAGAGCUGCUUUAAAGCCUUUUGAAUUCCCAAGUCUUUGUUUAAAAGCCGUUUGAGCAGUCAGCUGUAUUUGUGAAGAAUUCCACUCAGAACUGCCUCACUGUGCUUUGUUAGCCUUCAAAAACAUUUAACGUUUCAAAGCCAAAGUGAGAUAUUCACUUGCAAAGAGCAAAUCAUGUUUCUAUUUUAAGUAACUAAAGCUCAAUGAUUUACUCUUCUUUCUCCAGCAAACUGGACCAAGGGCAUCCUUUCACCACUUUUCUGCAGUCAUUAAAAAUCCCAGAUGUCAGGAAAUAAUCACUAAAACUGUGAAUAAAAUAAACCACUUUCAUUUCUGUUGUUCUUACAGCCAUAGAACUGAUGUGUCAGUAGGUUCUGGUGGUAACAUCCCUCUUUAAAACAUCUCUGCCAGCCUAAACCAUAGAUGGUGUGUCUCCGGUAUCCUGUUUGUCAUCAAUGCUUCUUGGUCACACAUGCAUAGUAAAUCGGGGAGAGUUCUAAAAUAUACAGGCAAGAACUUCACUGAAAAAGCUGUUCUGGUAGCUGAAUCUGCCCUACAGUCAGUUCUUACCUCUACAGAGGGGAAAAAACCCCAAUUCCUAACUAGCAUUAAAUAAUCAAAGAUGGGACUUCAGUAUGAGCUCCACACCGAGGCUGAAGGUGUCAUGGUGCCAUGAGUGAAACCAAAGGAAUUGUGUUAUUUAAGAGAAUCCAGAAUUUUCUUUCCUCUCACAGAUGUCUGCAACCCAAAUCCCUGUGAAUCAAGGAACUAAAGUGAUUCUGCUGUGUCAGAAAAAGCAAAAUUACAGAACUGCGUUAAAUACCAUAUUUAGCUACAGGGUUUUGUAUUAGGUAUAAAAAUUCCAGGAAACAUAUGAACUGAGCAGCAUCAACAACUCAUUUGCUGCCCUGGAACUGACAGAACCAACUCACCCGUGUUCUCCCUGACCCAGCAAGAACACAUGAGUUUUCUGGUGUAAGCAUGCAACCUGCUCUAGAGAAAACACCCACUUCAGCCCAAGCCUGCCUUUCUCUGACUGGAAUCCAUGUGGGAAGGGUUAGAUUGACUGGAUACAGUAGACAGCUUGGCACAACAACAGGAAGUGAGUCAGGAUCACAUUGGCAAUACAGGCGGUAAAUAACUUUGUUCAGAGUUCACAAUACUUGGGGAAGCUGCAGCAGUGCAACACUGCAGUGCAACAUGCAGACAUGGCCUGCAAAGGGACACGGGGACAGCAGCUCAUGGAAGGGUUUCACUGAAGCAAUCUGAAAGUCCUUCAUGGAGCUUAGCUAAUUCAAGAACAAAUCAAAUACUUUCCUCCCUCUAACCAGU
Molecule: long non-coding RNA, 3110 nt
Organism: Passer domesticus (house sparrow)
Lineage: Eukaryota; Metazoa; Chordata; Aves; Passeriformes; Passeridae
Exons: 3
Source: RefSeq, a predicted model, not a curated record